Molecule: transfer RNA, 74 nt
Filed under: Solirubrobacter pauli
Lineage: Bacteria; Bacillati; Actinomycetota; Thermoleophilia; Solirubrobacterales; Solirubrobacteraceae
Rfam family: tRNA
About the family: Transfer RNA (tRNA) molecules are approximately 80 nucleotides in length. Their secondary structure includes four short double-helical elements and three loops (D, anti-codon, and T loops).
Source: Rfam by way of RNAcentral
GUGCCCGUAGCUCAACUGGCCAGAGCGCCGCCCUGUCGAGGCGGAGGUCGCCGGUUCGAUCCCGGUCGGGCGCG